Myodes glareolus (Bank vole) is the source of this 158-nucleotide small nuclear RNA. RefSeq annotates it as U1 spliceosomal RNA. The record is from RefSeq and is a predicted model, not a curated record. NCBI's taxonomy places the organism in Eukaryota, Metazoa, Chordata, Mammalia, Rodentia, Cricetidae.
GUACUGACCUGGCAGGGGAUGUACCAUAAAGGUGGUUUUCCCAGGGCGAGGCUUAUCCAUUGCACUCCAGAUGUGCUGACCCCUACAAUUUCCCCAAAUGUGGGAAAUUCCACUGCAUAAUUUGUGGUAGUGGGGUUCUGCGUUUGUGCUCUCCCCCG